Molecule: long non-coding RNA, 2040 nt
Filed under: Homo sapiens (human)
Lineage: Eukaryota; Metazoa; Chordata; Mammalia; Primates; Hominidae
Description: HSALNT0391901
Source: RNAcentral
AGAAGGCUGAUUUCUGGCAGAGGCGGGGGCGCCGCUUCGGGAGAGCGGGCAGUUCUAGGAGGCCGACCUGGAGAGCCUCCCGGUUCCCCUUCCCCUUUUCCCGGACCCCGCGGGGACACCCCCUCGCCGCCACCCGGGCCUCCCCGAGGGCCCAACUGCGGGUCAGGCGGCCCGGGCCAGCCGAAAGGGAAGUGGGGCUACCCCACAGCCAGGCAGCGGGGCUGGGGUCAGACCCGGGAGCCGGAGGUUGGAGACGUGCGACAGUCACCUGCGGGCAGAUUCCAGAGGGGAGACCCAGGGCUGCAGGGGACGCCCCUUCGUGGCAGCUACCCAGCCUCGGCCCACUGCCAGGCGGAGGCGAGAGGAUCACUUGAGCAUGGACAUUCAAGACCAGCCUGGGCAGCAAAUGUUACGUGGCUGCAUGACCAUACACUUCUGGGUAGAGCCCAGUGGAAGACAAAGAAGACUCAAGGAAUAGCCCUUGAGGUAAUGGAUGAGAAAGUGCUUUGUAAAUUACAAUGCUCUGACACAAGUCAAGUUCAUUCAUCCAUUCCAUAAACCUCUGCCGAGAGCCUGCUUUUGCCAGGCACAGGGCGAAGUGCUGGAAGACAGAAGUGCUGGGUGAAUCCUGCAGGGGGAGAUGGCCAAGGCAAUCGGCAUGGAGCCCCCAGGGCUCAGGAGCUAUACAGAUGGGAUAGAGGGUGUGAGUGCUGGGAAGCCCCAUCCAUGGCUCGCUGGAGAUUAGAGGCCUGUUAAUCUGAAGACAAAGGAAUGAAGACGAAAACGUUUCUGAAAAUGUGGGUGGAGACACCUGGGCCUUUACAGGGUACGCUCCAGAGCUGCUUCCAGGCAGGGACCCCGGCUGAGAGAAGCCAGAGCCAGAGAGUCGCAGGCUUGCUUGCUCUUAUCUUCCCUCUGCUGGGGGGGUCGAGGGGAGAUCUGGCCCCUCUGCUCUGCCCUCCUGAUUUCCCGUCUAAGGGAUUUAGGAGACUUUUGCCUUUUCCUAAUCUCUCCCUUUGCAGAAUUUCUGCGAAGUCACAAUCCCAUUUCCAGGCAAAGGUGCUUGGUCAUAAAGAUAAUAAAGAUAUUCAUUCAUGAUGGAGGGGAAGUACACAGUGGUUUCAGCUGCCUGUAGGGCUCCACUUACUCAUGGUGUGUGACAGAUGCUGAGCCCUUCCCCAAAUCUCAUGGAUGGGAAGGAAACCUGGCGCCGCGGGGUGGUCGCGGGAAGCCGUGGCAUGGCUUGGUGAACACAGGCUCGCCGACCCGGGGGCGGAUGCUGAGGUUGCCAUUGUUGGUGGCUGCAUCUGCAGUAGACGGGUCGGGAUGCCGGCCUCAGACCACAGCGUUGCUAAAUGCCAAACCCAAGGCCUCCCCGUCUUUAACACUGCUGGGCAUUCUACAGCGCAAGGAGGCAGCUGGGGCUGGACUGCCCAGUGCCUGCCGUUGACUGUGCGUCUUCUGCCUGUGAGCUAGCCUGCCACACCUGGGGAUACACGGUGGGGAAAUCAAUCAGCUUCCCUCCCUUCUAGAGCUUCAGGUCCGGCGUUGGUGUCUAGAGGCAAGGGGAGGAGGCAGGGAGGCCUCUUCUUUUCUGUCCCCCUUUCUCUUGGCCAAUUUGGAGGAGAUGGUGGGGGACCUGUCUCUCAUCUGACCUCCUGGAAGCCCUGCCUGCUGCUCCAGUGUGGCUCUCCCAGGGCUGAGGCCUGGAACCUAGGGCUGGGCUACCUGGGGUGCUCAGCUCUGCCGCACCCCAGCCCUCCUCGGCUGCAGCCCUGGCUUCUUUUCUUACCCACUGGGAUGGCCCGUGGGACUAACCUUGCAGCCUGCAGGACUAUGGCCCAGAUGACCUUUCCGGAGCAGGGGAAGAGUUCACAGGUCUCAGACCAGGUUGACCCCGAGCCCUCUCUUUCCUGCUUCGCAUAGGGGCGGGCCAAGGGAGGCAGGGACAAUGGCAUUCCUGUUUGCAGGCCUUUGUUCCCGCCAGGAGGGCCCCCGGAGCUAAUAAAAAGGUUUGUGGCUCCGAUGUCUAAGAGGCAG